GGAUCGGUAACUCAAUUGUCAGAGUGUCUGCCUCUUAAGCAGGAAGUUAUGGGUUCAAGUCCCAUCCGAUCCA
This 73-nucleotide transfer RNA is filed under the name Acidobacteriota bacterium. Its description in RNAcentral is "Acidobacteria bacterium (wastewater metagenome) tRNA-Lys". It matches the Rfam family "tRNA". From Rfam's summary of the family: Transfer RNA (tRNA) molecules are approximately 80 nucleotides in length. Their secondary structure includes four short double-helical elements and three loops (D, anti-codon, and T loops). The record is from RNAcentral. Lineage: Bacteria; Pseudomonadati; Acidobacteriota.